AGUGAACGCUGGCGGUAGGCCUAACACAUGCAAGUCGAACGGCAGCACAGUAAGAGCUUGCUCUUACGGGUGGCGAGUGGCGGACGGGUGAGGAAUACAUCGGAAUCUACUUUUUCGUGGGGGAUAACAUAGGGAAACUUACGCUAAUACCGCAUACGACCUACGGGUGAAAGCAGGGGAUCUUCGGACCUUGCGCGAUUGAAUGAGCCGAUGUCGGAUUAGCUAGUUGGCGGGGUAAAGGCCCACCAAGGCGACGAUCCGUAGCUGGUCUGAGAGGAUGAUCAGCCACACUGGAACUGAGACACGGUCCAGACUCCUACGGGAGGCAGCAGUGGGGAAUAUUGGACAAUGGGCGCAAGCCUGAUCCAGCCAUACCGCGUGGGUGAAGAAGGCCUUCGGGUUGUAAAGCCCUUUUGUUGGGAAAGAAAAGCAGCAGGUUAAUACCCCGCUGUUCUGACGGUACCCAAAGAAUAAGCACCGGCUAACUUCGU
RNAcentral lists this ribosomal RNA (491 nucleotides) under uncultured bacterium. Its description in RNAcentral is "partial 16S ribosomal RNA". It matches the Rfam family "Bacterial small subunit ribosomal RNA", at positions 29 to 506 of the family's 1533-position model. The record is from RNAcentral.